This 448-nucleotide ribosomal RNA is filed under the name uncultured bacterium. Its description in RNAcentral is "SSU rRNA". It matches the Rfam family "Bacterial small subunit ribosomal RNA", at positions 26 to 518 of the family's 1533-position model. The record is from RNAcentral.
AGAGCGAACGCUGGCGGCAUGCUUAACACAUGCAAGUCGCACGGGCAUUUCGGUGUCAGCGGCGGACGGGUGAGUAACGCGUAGGUAUCUAUCCUUGGGUGGGGGAUAACGGUUGGAAACGACUGCUAAUACCGCAUGAUAACUGAGGUUUAAAGGCGCAAGUCGCCUGGGGAGGAGCCUGCGUACGAUUAGCUUGUUGGUGGGGUAAAGGCCUACCAAGGCGACGAUCGUUAGCUGGUCUGAGAGGAUGAUCAGCCACAUUGGGACUGAGACACGGCCCAAACUCCUACGGGAGGCAGCAGUGGGGAAUAUUGGACAAUGGGCGAAAGCCUGAUCCAGCAAUGCCGCGUGUGUGAAGAAGGUCUUCGGAUUGUAAAGCACUUUCGACAGGGACGAUGAUGACGGUACCUGUAGAAGAAGCCCCGGCUAACUUCGUGCCAGCAGCCGC